Molecule: ribosomal RNA, 326 nt
Filed under: uncultured eukaryote
Lineage: Eukaryota
Description: partial 18S ribosomal RNA
Rfam family: Eukaryotic small subunit ribosomal RNA
Source: RNAcentral
CCCUUAGAUGUUCUGGGCUGCACGCGCGCUACACUGAUGCAUGCAACGAGUUUUCGACCUUGCCUGAAAAGGUUGGGUAAUCUGUUUAACAUGUGUCGUGAUGGGGAUAGACCAUUGCAAUUAUUGAUCUUCAACGAGGAAUUCCUAGUAAGCGCGAGUCAUCAGCUCGUGCUGAUUAUGUCCCUGCCCUUUGUACACACCGCCCGUCGCCCCUACCGAUUGAGUGAUCCGGUGAAUGAUUCGGACCAGCGUGCUGCUCAGAUCCUGCGCAGUGUGCUGGGAAGUCUAGUGAACCUUAUCACUUAGAGGAAGGAGAAGUCGUAACA